RNAcentral lists this ribosomal RNA (274 nucleotides) under uncultured bacterium. RNAcentral describes it as "partial 16S ribosomal RNA". It matches the Rfam family "Bacterial small subunit ribosomal RNA", at positions 523 to 796 of the family's 1533-position model. The record is from RNAcentral.
AUACGGAGGGUGCAAGCGUUAUCCGGAAUCACUGGGUUUAAAGGGUGCGUAGGCGGCUAAAUAAGUCAGAGGUGAAAUCUUUCCGCUUAACGGAAAAAUUGCCUUUGAAACUGUAUAGCUUGAAUGAAGUUGAGGUUAGCGGAAUGUGACAUGUAGCGGUGAAAUGCAUAGAUAUGUCAUAGAACACCAAAUGCGAAGGCAGCUAGCUAGGCUUGAAUUGACGCUGAGGCACGAAAGCGUGGGGAGCGAACAGGAUUAGAUACCCCAGUAGUCC